This 200-nucleotide ribosomal RNA is filed under the name Enterococcus saigonensis. Its description in RNAcentral is "partial 16S ribosomal RNA". It matches the Rfam family "Bacterial small subunit ribosomal RNA", at positions 587 to 786 of the family's 1533-position model. The record is from RNAcentral. Lineage: Bacteria; Bacillati; Bacillota; Bacilli; Lactobacillales; Enterococcaceae.
GUCUGAUGUGAAAGCCCCCGGCUCAACCGGGGAGGGUCAUUGGAAACUGGGAGACUUGAGUGCAGAAGAGGAGAGUGGAAUUCCAUGUGUAGCGGUGAAAUGCGUAGAUAUAUGGAGGAACACCAGUGGCGAAGGCGGCUCUCUGGUCUGUAACUGACGCUGAGGCUCGAAAGCGUGGGGAGCAAACAGGAUUAGAUACC